UACGUAGGUGGCAAGCGUUGUCCGGAUUUACUGGGUGUAAAGGGCGAGUAGGCGGACCUGCAAGUCAGAUGUGAAAUCCCGGGGCUUAACCCCGGAACUGCAUUUGAAACUGUAGGCCUUGAGUGGGCGAGAAGUACGCGGAAUGCGUGGUGUAGCGGUGAAAUGCAUAGAUAUCACGCAGAACUCCGAUUGCGAAGGCAGCGUACCGGCGCCCAACUGACGCUGAAGCACGAAGGCGUGGGUAUCGAACAGG
This 253-nucleotide ribosomal RNA is filed under the name uncultured bacterium. Its description in RNAcentral is "partial 16S ribosomal RNA". It matches the Rfam family "Bacterial small subunit ribosomal RNA", at positions 524 to 776 of the family's 1533-position model. The record is from RNAcentral.